CCUACGGGAGGCAGCAGUGGGGAAUAUUGGACAAUGGGCGAAAGCCUGAUCCAGCCAUGCCGCGUGUGUGAAGAAGGUCUUCGGAUUGUAAAGCACUUUAAGUUGGGAGGAAGGGCAGUAAGCGAAUACCUUGCUGUUUUGACGUUACCGACAGAAUAAGCACCGGCUAACUCUGUGCCAGCAGCCGCGGUAAUACAGAGGGUGCAAGCGUUAAUCGGAAUUACUGGGCGUAAAGCGCGCGUAGGUGGUUUGUUAAGUUGAAUGUGAAAUCCCCGGGCUCAACCUGGGGAACUGCAUCCAAAACUGGCAAGCUAGAGUAGGGCAGAGGGUGGUGGAAUUUCCUAGUGUAGCGGUGAAAUGCGUAGAUAUAGGAAGGAACACCAAGUGGCGAAGGCGACCACCUGGGCUCAUACUGACACUGAAGGUGCGAAAGCGUGGGGAAGCAAACAGGAUUUAGAUACCCUGGUAGUCCACGCCGUUAAACGAUGUNACUAGACGUGUAGACUGUAGNUUAGUGNGCANNACGCAUAGUU
This 533-nucleotide ribosomal RNA is filed under the name uncultured bacterium. Its description in RNAcentral is "bacterial SSU rRNA". It matches the Rfam family "Bacterial small subunit ribosomal RNA", at positions 338 to 853 of the family's 1533-position model. The record is from RNAcentral.